Molecule: long non-coding RNA, 3327 nt
Organism: Equus caballus (horse)
Lineage: Eukaryota; Metazoa; Chordata; Mammalia; Perissodactyla; Equidae
Source: Ensembl
GUAAGUAAAAUGUUUUUCUGGGUUCUUUGAGUUGCUCUAGCAAGUUAAUAGAACUCGAGGAGGGGGUCGUUGGAACCUCUAAUCUAUAGCUGGUAGGUCAGAAGCCCAGGUGACAAGCUGGCCUUGAGCACUUGGCGUCUGAAGUUGGGGUGGGGGUGGGGAUGCUGUGAGGGGGGCAGUUUUGUAGGACUGAGCCCUUAACUUGUGGGAUCUGACGAUCUCUAGGUAGAUAGUGUCAGAAUUGAGUUGAAUUGUAGGACACCCAGCUGGUGUCCGAGAAUUGCUUGGUGUGUUGAAAAACCUCUACACGUAAUUGUGUGCAGAAUUGUGUAAUUGGCGUCAGAGAAGUGGGAUUUGCUAGAAUGGCCUUGGCUUGCAGAAGCUUGUGAUUUGGGAGGAAAUAAGAUGAAAGGGUGAGGAGGGAGGGACCUUUGGUUCCUGGGUGGCCGGGUUGCCACGUGGUCACCCUUGGUAAGGAGCAGCAGCUGUGCUUCUAUCAGUUACUAAAGAUAACAAUUACCAGUGGAAUUUAGGGAUUGAUCCAGCUCCAAGGGAGGUAGUUCUCUCAUGUAUAAGGAAAUGCAAACUAAUAAGAAAAAGAGGAAAUAUACAAUCCCUUAGUUGUUGUUCUGUAAUAGCUAAAAGGAAAUUAAGUGAGUGCUGGGUAGGACCUUGAUUCUAGAUCAAACUCAGAUUUCAGUGAGUCUGAGCUUGGGCCACUAGCAUCAGAGCUGCUGCCCUAGGUAAAAAUUGUGCAGGGACAACAGAGCCUCUAAGUCCUCUGGUCACCAAGAAGGACUGUCUCUGGAACCGUGUGAGGAACUGCUGGAUUCUGUUGUCUCUUGGACAGUCCCCUAUAAUGAGCCCUCACCUGAUUGACAAUGAGCUGCUUGGUUUGUGGACAUCAGUUCCAGGGUGAAUGGACAAUAUCCUGUUGGGAAGGCCACCAUUCUGAAAGAAGAAGUGAUCACAGGACCAGGGCUGCAACUACAAAGGCUGGAGACAGGGAUGAUUCCUAAGCAAGGAACUGUAACCUUGUUUUUAACCUUUAUGUCACAAUUCCUGAGACCCCGAUGGGGCAGGAUAUGCCUUUACUCCAUCUGGCAAAAUUGGGGCUAACAGUGAAUGCAGCUAUAUUGCCUGGUGGUAAAGAGAGUCCACUAGUUCUGCAGCUUGUAACCUUACCCUAUAUGAAUGAGAGUGGGUCGAGGGAGAGGCAUUUGCUUGACUAUUAUUGCUGCCUGCAAUUUAGACCAACGCUGUGGCCCAACCUAAUGUCCCUUCCAAAGGUGGAAAAGUUUGGGUAUAAAUGGAGAGAAGAAAAAAUAGUAGCUGUGGGUAAAGGAAUGAAUAAAUUGUUUAUGUAAUGAGGAAAAUUACAAUAUUACAUUAACACCUUGAAAGAGGUUCAGAGGAAGAGAUGAUAUUGUCUCUUAGGUCAGUUUUACCAGAUGCUUGAAAGGGUGAAGCCAUAUAUUGCUGACACCACUCCUGCUUUUGGUACAAGAUUGAAUGGAAGCCUACAAACCUGAGUGGCUUCCCCUGGGAGAUAACUUCAUGUGAUAUGGUAAUGGACUGGAUAGUUACUAAUGACUGAAUGAGAUUCUAGUAAUGUGCCAGUAUCUUUUAAGAUUAUUUUGCUAUGAGGGAUCCCUGUUUGAGGAACAGGGGAUGGAGUGUGAUUGUGUUUCAUAAUCGGAAACACAUAUUUGAUCUUAGUCCCCUUUUCUGAUACAGCUCCUAAACUCUGGGAAUUAACUGUGAUGAGAACAAUAAAGGUGUCUCUCGUUGUGUUAAUGUAGUGAAUUUAGGAAAGCAUCUGAAGAUGAAGGUUAGAUGCCAGGGGAACCAACCUUGUGAUUAGAGGGUUGGGACUUUUAGCCUCACCCAAGACCUCUGGGAAGGGGAGCGGAGCUGGAGAUUGAAUUCAGUCACCAAAGGUCAAUAAUUUAAUUGACAUGCCAAUGUAAUGAAACCUCCAUAAAAGACCAAAAGGACAGAGUUCGGAGAGCUUCCAGGUUCAUGAACACAUGGCGGUUUAGGGAGAGUGGUGUGUUUGGAGAGGGUGUGGGAGCUCCUGGCCAUUUCUUCAUAGCUUGCCCUAUGCAUCUCUUCCAUCUGGCUGUUCUGAGUUAUAUCCUCUUAUAAUAAACCAGUAAACUGGUAAGUAAAAUGUUUUUCUGAGCUGCUCCAGCAAAUUAAACUCAAGGAAGGGGUUGUUGGAACCUCUGAUCUGUAAUUGGUCAGUCAGAAGCCCUGGUGACAAUCUGGACUUGUGAUUGGCUUCUGAAGUGGCAGGGGUCGGGAGGCAGUCUUGUAGGACUGAACCCUUAACCUGUGGGAUCUGAUGCUUUCUCGAGGCGGAUGGUGUCAGAAUUGAGUUGAAUGUCGGAUGCCCAGCUGGUCUCCAAGAAUUGCUUGAUGUGGGGAAAAUUUUCCACAUGUUGGAAUUGGGUACAGAAUUAUAAGCCCUAACUCCAAUUCACUUUUUAAAAUACUUUUUAAAGUUUUUUGAGCACUUUUAAAUUUACAAAAAAAAAAAUUGCAACUAUGGUACGGAGAGUUCUCUUAAAACCCGUACCCAGUUUCCCUGUAAUUAACAACCAACAUUAGCAAUUGUAUAUUUCUAACAAUUGAUUAGCCAAUAUUGUAUACAUUAUUAACUAAAGUGCAUACUUUCUUCAGAUUUUUAUACUUUUUACCUAAUGCUGUUUUUUUUUGUUCUUUGAUCCCACUCAGGAUACCACAUUACAUUUAGUUGUCAUGUCCCCUUAGACUCCUCUUGACUUUUGACCGUUCCUUAGACUUUCCCUGUGUUUGAUCUUGACAAUUUGGAGGAGUGCUGAUCAGGUAAUUUUUAGAAUAUCCUUCAAUUAGGAUUUCUAUGAUAAUUUUCCUCAUGAUGACUGGCCUUAUAAGUUCUAGGGAGGAAGACCACAGAAGUGAAAAAAGUAUAAGUGGUAAAAAUUACUUUAAAAAACAACAAUUUAAAGCCUCUGGAAAUUGAUCUAAGAGCUUACAGCAAAUGAAAUAACAUUUCUUGAAGAGAAUAUGCUCAAACUCAGUAAAAACAGUAACGGCAUUUCAUCACGUCAUCUCAAGGGUGCAUGAUAUCAACAUGACGUAUCACUGUUGAUGUUAACCUUGAUCACCAAUCCAAUAUUACUUUUUGAGAAUGUAUCUCAGUGUGAGUCUUUUUGUAUUUAUCCUGCUUGGACUUUGUUGAGCUUCUUGGAUGUAUAGAUUAAAGUUUGUCAUCAAAUUUUGGAAGCCUUCAGUCAUUAUUUCUUUGAACAUAUUUUUUUACUCCUUUUGUUCCCUCCUGGA